UUCUGUUAGCCAUUUCUUCCAUAUUUGUAGAGUGCCUACUAAUUGCUUUUCUUCUUUCCAUUAAAAAAAAUCUUAUUUCCUAGACUAUUCACUUUGUAAAUGGAACUUGGAACUUAUCCUGUCUAUGAUUCUUAUUGAACUACAACUGGAAUGCCCUGGAGAGGUAAAUACAUCACCUUAUGGGGUUUGACACACUGAACAGGAAUCCCAAGGAUGAUGAAUCUCACUGAAGAAGUCCAAGCUAAAAAAAUUUCACAUACACCACAAGAAUUACUAAUAAGCUUAGUUGAUGCAUGCCAGGAUAAUUUUAGUUAAAAGCCUCUAGCAUUCUGCAACAUCUGUGAUCCUGACAGUUUGGCUAAGGAAUUAUUGGCCUGCCAAUAUCAGCAAACUUCGGAAUGUCUUUUCAGAAGAAAAAGAUGAAAGAAAAAGGGAGUGAUUGGAAGAGUUGGAAGUAAUAUCAACAGCAAAGCUUGGAGCAGAGAAAAGAAGCAAAUUUUCAGCUUAGCUUCCCAGGCAGAAGAGUGAGAGAAGACAAACUGGGAGAUAUACGAACACUUUGGGGAGAGAUCAGAAAGAGACAUGAGCAGGACUAAUGAAGAAGAGUGAGAAAAGGACAUUAGAAAGAAGCCCAAAGAUGAGUAAGCCUGGGCUCAAGUGGUACAAGCAUUUCAUCAGAUAAGCUAUACAUCACUCUUAUUUUGAAUCCCAGUGUUUAACAAUAUAGUAUCAAAUUAAACACUUGCCUGAAAUAAUGAUUACAAAUGACUUUUAAUUAUUAUCCUCUUAAUGCAAUUUAAUAAUUUACUGAUGACUACUACAGAUUUAAAAUAUGCUAGACAUAGAUAUUGAAAAAGGGACAUUUAUUUUACUCAUUGCCUAAAUAUUGAUUGAGAAUUUACUCUGGGCUAGGCACUGUGUUUGGCAGUAAGAAUAUACUGAUGAGUAAAACAGAAGGUCCAGGACCUCUUGGAAUCUGUGAUUUAGUGGGAGUGGUAGACGGACACACACACACACACACACACACACACACACACACACAUGUUUACAAACUGUGCUGAUUUUCAAGAAUGAUCUGUUUUGGAAGCAUGAUUUACCAAUGAGGAAAUAAAGUAGAAUGA
This is a non-coding RNA of Heterocephalus glaber (naked mole-rat), 1121 nucleotides long. NCBI's taxonomy places the organism in Eukaryota, Metazoa, Chordata, Mammalia, Rodentia, Bathyergidae. The record is from RefSeq and is a predicted model, not a curated record.